This 478-nucleotide ribosomal RNA is filed under the name uncultured bacterium. Its description in RNAcentral is "partial 16S ribosomal RNA". It matches the Rfam family "Bacterial small subunit ribosomal RNA", at positions 28 to 507 of the family's 1533-position model. The record is from RNAcentral.
GAUGAACGCUGGCGGCGUGCUUAACACAUGCAAGUCGAACGGAAAUUAUUUUAUUGAAACUUCGGUCGAUUUAAUUUAAUUGUAGUGGCGGCCGGGGGAGUAACGCGUGGGUAACCUGCCUUAUCCAGGGGGAUAACAGUCAGAAAUGGCUGCUAAUACCGCAUCAGCGCACAGAGCUGCAUGGCUCAGUGUGACAAACUCCGAUGGUAUAAGAGGGACCCGCGUUGGAUUCGCUUGUUGGCAGGGUAACGGCCUACCACGGCGACGAUCCGUAGCCGGCCUGAGAGGGAGAGCGGCCACAUUUGGACUGAGACGCGGUCGAGACUCCUACGGGAGGCAGCAGUGGGGAAUAUUGCACAAUCGCGUGAGUGAUGAUGGAGCGACGCUGCGUGAAGGCAGAAGUAUCUGGGUAUGUAAACUGCUAGCAGCAAUGAACAUAGUGACGGUACCUGACCAAGAAGCCCCGGCUAACUACGUG